CGCUCCCGCCCGGUUCACUUCGCCCUCGCAAAUGACGGUGAAAUUAAGCGCUAGAAUUGCGGGGAUAGGACGGAGGAUCUCCAUCGGCUUGGAGCCUUCGAGGUUGUCGACCCCGCCGCCCUGCGCCCACAGCCUCGUCGGGUUCCUGCCGCAGCGGGUGCGGGAGGGCGCGCUGCCGCAGCAGCCACCGGACGCGGAAGGAGGAACAGAUGCCCAGCCGCGUGCCGCCAGCUUCCCCAGUCCGGCCUUCCCGGCAGCGCCUCCCUCCACGGCAUCUUCCCCGUCGCGCGCCGUCCGGCCUGUCCCCGCGCAGCCGAGCAAGAUCUGGCGGGUUCGUGAGAUCCCCUCCCUCGCACCAUCCCUUGAAAUCAUGGGGAAGCACCAGUCUCGCUGCAACAUCGUCUUCCUCCUCCAGCAACACCGUCUUCUCCCCGUUCUCCCUCCACGUUGCGCUCAGCCUCCUCGCCACCGGCGCGGGCGGCGCCACGCGCGACCAGAUGCUCGCCGCACUCGGCGGAGGGGACGAGCAGGGGCACGAGCACUCGCGCUCCUUUAGCCAGCCGGUGGGGCCGCUGUCGCCGCAGUACGGAGUCUACUACGGCCAGGACCCGAGCGCGGGCUAGCAGGGAGGAGGGUACGCUGAACCAUAACCAGCCCCGGCAUACCAGGCCCCGCCGGCCGUGAAGCCGCGGUAGCUGGAUCGCCGGUACUCGCGGAUUGCCGACGGUUACCACUCGAUGGAUCAGGUUACUGAUGCCCUAGCUUAAGCUGGUCUUGAAUCAUCAAAUCUUAUUGUCGGUAUUGAUUUCACAAAGAGCAACGAGAGACCUUGCAAUGUUUUCUUUUUUUUAAAAAAGACAUUGCAAUGGUUUCUCAGAAGCUGCAUUGAUAUAGGGAAGCUGCAUCGAUAUAGAAGGCAAGGGCGACACAGGCUGCGGCAUCUUUGUUCCCUCCCAUUCCUGUGUGCUCCCUGGUGCCGGCCGCCAUCCAAAUUCCUGCAAGGUAUAUGGCUAUGCCAUUGUGUGCUUGAAUUGCUCAGUACUUUUAUACAUUGACUUGCCGAUGAUAUAUAUACGUCAGUGCUUAAGCUGUUCCGAUCUUGAAUGACAAACACAAGAGAGCACCCAUCUGGCUGUAGGUCUAGCAUUGUUUAGAAGAAUGUUACAAACAUUGGAUGUCAAGGAGCUUGGGAUUUAUUUUGCUGGUAGUCCGCAAAUAGAAAAUAUAUAAUGUGGAAGUUUUAUUUCAAAAUCUUUGGAGGCUUUCAACCGUCAUCUCAACUACUUACACAAAGAAGUUCGAGAUAAGCAUUGGCAAGUUUCUAGAAAUGUUCAAUGCUCCUGUCAUUUCGUACAGUCAAAAGAAAGAUACAGAUUUUUACCUUUCCCUACAAUUUGCACUUUUUUGCGGCUUAGUGCACAAAUUUGAAGAAAAAAAGAGACAUGUUCAUUAAUGUGGAUUUAUUAUGUAUAAUCCAUCCAUGUGACUACACUGUAUUCAUUUUUCAUGAUUUUGAAUCAGCUUCAAGAUUCUAGCAAUGCUUAGUGCAAUCCUUUAUACCUUGUCAUUCUUCAUUAUUAGGAUUCAGUGCUGCUAUUUAUUUACUUAAACCCUCGAUUUUCAUAAAGUGCUUUAAAACAUUGAUGCAUGGUAUUUUUUUACAUUUUCAGCCAUUGUGUCACUAGAGAUCAAGCUGGUGAGGAUAUAUUUUCCAUGUUCCUGGCCUGGUUUAUGAUUAUGUACCUAAAUUUAAGAAGUGUUCCAUAUUUAAGUGAACCAGAUUUAAAAUGCCAUUUAACUCAAUAAGAAGUGCUCCAGAUUUAAGUGUUGCAUAUUAUGCUUUUUGCUUUCUACUCCAAUGUAGAUCUAUUUGGACUUUUCCUUUCUACCUUGCUGGGUACCUCGAAAUAGAAUUGUGCAUACCGUUUAACCUUUGAUGUAAUGUCAAUCAAUGGUAACCUAACCAUCCAAAUUGAUUAAUGAAGUGAAUAAAACUGAGCUAAAGUUGUCAUGCACUUAGAUUGAUAUUGGAGUUGGGAUACGAUUUUUAUAGCUGAAACAUGAGUUGUCACAGUGAUAAUUCGAUUACAUGGUGGAUGGUUCGUUUUGCUCUGUGUUACAGUACUAUUUAGCAGAAUUUAGAAUAGCUCUGGGUCCAAUAUUUCCAUUGCCAGUGUCGCCAGAUCUUGUCCUGCUCAUGGCUUCGAUCGGCCGUACUCUACUCUUGGUUUCCAAACAGCGAGGAGCGGAUCUUGUACCGUUCACGGCUAGCAAUGUUCCUGUAGUGGUUCUGAUUCUGCACAGGUAGCUUUUUUCAAUGUACACUGUUGUUCUGAACUGAUUACACACUCAUCAAAUCAUUUGUGAAUUUGGACAGCCAUAUCAACACGAUUAACAAGAUCUUUGCUAGAUCUUAUGAUGGACAGAUAAUAUGCGGCAAAAUUAUCUGUAAUCAGUAGACAUUGCAUAGCAGUUUCUGUCAUUUUACAAACAAAACUGGUUUUGCUUACUGCCUUUUAUAGCAAAUCUAUACUAUAAGGAUCCUAAACUAAUAAAAACACCAUGCACCUGAAAAUUUUCCCCUUACCCCUCACAGUGUCCCACCUGUCGGGUGUCGGGUAGGUGGACAUUGAAAUCAGGGUGCGUGCAGCGUAUUCAACACUGGUGGACUCAAACUAUUGUAGUAUUGUCCAAUCUGGACUUUCAUCUUCUUUUUAAUAUAAUUGGCAGCUCUUCUGCCAUGGCCGGCCAGCUAUACGCCUGGUGAUGGGCCUACACACUCACGCAUAUGUGCCUUGCUAACAACAUACACCAUGGUACUUGGGCAGAAUGAGAAUACCAGCUAUGAGAGGCUAAAUGCUAUGCGACAUAGGACAAGAGGAUUACUCAUGGGCAGGUACAGGUUCCUUCAGCUCGUGUAGGGACCAAAAGUGAAUUUGGUGAAUUUGCUAUGAAUGUGAAAGCUUAGCCUUAGCAUAAGAAAGCUUUGCGAUUCAGUAGGUGAUUUGUCUAGGUGAGGAAAGUGUGGUGUGAUUGGCCUCUAAAUUCUUGGCAUGCUUGAUCAAAUCUGAUCAUUAUCAUAGAACAAACAGGUUCAUUUUAUUAUCUUCCCAGCUAGCUUUUUUCAAUAACAAUUCUGCAUUUAAUAAAAAUAUGUAAAUCUUUUUUAGAUAAAAAUACCUAUAAAUACUUAUAAUGUCUUCAAUGAACAUUUAGGAAAUUCUUGAUCUUGGUGAUAUGCCUUCGGUACCUUGAAGCACGAAAAUGUUUAUGUAAGUGCCUUAUUUGGUGUACAUUCUAUGCUCCUUAUUUGACCUUAUUUAAUUCAUGUACUGUGGAUUUUGAGUUGAGCUAUGUAUUGAUCAAAAGUUUGUUAUACUGGUUUUUCUAUGCAAAUGCCUUUUGAAUUAUUUUAUUAUUAA
Panicum virgatum (switchgrass) is the source of this 3422-nucleotide long non-coding RNA. RefSeq lists it as uncharacterized. The transcript is spliced from 3 exons. NCBI's taxonomy places the organism in Eukaryota, Viridiplantae, Streptophyta, Magnoliopsida, Poales, Poaceae. The record is from RefSeq and is a predicted model, not a curated record.